UUUCUAUAAAAUAUAUAACUAUUUUUCUCUUUCUUGUUGCACCUUAUUUUACAUUCCACUGGUAAAUUCAUCAACACUCACUUGAAAUAAAUAAAUCAACCAUUUUUCCUCCUCUGAAUACCAGAAAAUGUAUUUUCCCCAAUGCAUUUCCAAACACAUACUACAGAUAUACUCCCUCCAGUCCCCCUGCUGAGCCUGGUCCCCAUUCUGCAUUUGCAUUACAUCGAGUAGAUCUCAUCUCCGCCUUCACUUUUGUCUGCCACCUCCAUCUAGACACAUAAUGAAAUUGUCUCGCUUGUCUACCUGAUUUAAUGUUGUUUAACAAUGCUCCAGUCAAAGAUGAAUGCUGCGAGAAGGGCGCUUGAGGUGAGAACUAAAAAUGGAAUCCAGUGCAGCCUUCACCAGGUUGACAUAGGCCCUGAUGUGCUGCUUAGACAUCUUUGCUUUGGUUAAAUAUGGCUCCACUGUAGGAGAUGCAAGCACAAUGGUCAAACAUGUCCAUCUAACAUGAUUACUUAAAAAAAACUAAUGAAAAGUAGAGUAGUGUAAUUGAAAAACCUGUGAACGGCCCAUAAGAAUGUAACUGGAAUACGAUUUCGAUCCCUAUAGUCGUCCUAAUCUUUAGUGUGUGUGUUUUAAAAAUCCAUGCUAAAAUAAAAUGAGACAAAAUGUACACAUUUAAUAGCAUUAUAAAGUCUUCUCCACUUGUUUGUGACAGUUUUAUAAGCUGCAACUCUGAUUGCGCGACUACACCCACGCACUUCCCUUUUCAUUCACUCCAGGAAGCCUCUCCACCGUGUUUGUUUGGGUUACUGUAGAACCACGCAGCCACAUGACCCGAGGUCAGAUUCAAUCUCUGACUCUGAUCCACCCAAGUCUUGCCUAAAAUAGAGUCUAAUAGUAUUUGCAUUCUGUCCAGACCCUGCUGUAUGGGUUAGUGGUGCUGGACGCAGUGAACUGUAAACUCCCUUCUGGCCUGGACAUUUGACAGUGCUUAGAAUUUGCAUUGGGAUCCUAUUGUGAUCCAGAUUUGUGCUAUUGCAAAAGGAGGAAGUCAAUAGGAGGGACAUUCACACACGGCAGAGAUCAAUAGACCGAUUAUUCUCGUGGCUGCUUGCUCCACCCACUAACGUCUCAGAUGUUGGAUAAAUUCAGAUUACAGGAAAAAAAAAACUGAAUGCAGCUGUCUUGUCUGAAUUUUUAUGUCGUAAAAUGAUUUUAAAGUUUGCAUACAAGUAUUUGCAUGAAGUUAAGUGGCUUCUUAAUCCCAGUGAUGAACCAUCAAUGAAAGAUGCUCAUGCAAUGGGGCAUUGCUGCUUGAAAUUCACAAUGUCUAAUGAUAUUUUUGUCACUAAAGCGCUGAUUUUGUUUUGUUUUUAACUUGUCCCCUUUCUCUGAAAAAGGAAGGACUGUCUGUUUCCUCCUCUUCCUCUUGCAUCACCCUGUUGGUUCAUAGAUAAGUAUGAUUCAGCUCAGUCUAUUCAAUGCACUGUAUUCUUUCUUUUUUUAUCAUGCCUGGUUUCUGGAUUGACUAGAAGAAGUAUAUCAUAUAGGCAUAAUACCAUUUGGAAGCUUUGGGGUCGACACUCCUGCUCACUCAUUCUUUAAUAAUAUUUUCUGCAUUUUAGACAAUCUCAAGAAUGAUACAAAUUGUUCUGCAGAAGAAAGUAAGUCAUACAGAUUUGGAACAAAAUGAAGACUCGGUGCAGCUGUGGACCUCUUCACCUCAGCCUCGUACUCAAGGUCUGCACCCCUGCAUGACGAACAAUGGAGGUAUUAGAAGGCCCUGUUAAGCUGCAGCCCUCUUCAAACAGGCAGCCAGCAUGGUACCAGAUCCAAGCCCUCAGCAGCUGUGCUAACCCCCAUUCACUUCACUGACACAAAUCCCCGUUCUCCAUCCCAAAGACUGCUUAAUGCAGGGCUCUCUCAAGUGAAAAGAGUGUUUCUUAUGUCUUUAUUAUCUCAGAAAAAGGACACACAGAUUCUUUUUGUGCCAGUACACUUUCAUUUGCCAUAGGCAAGCAAUCUCUCUCUCUCUCUCUCUUUUUUUUUUUUUUUUUUUUUUUUUUUUUUGAAAAGGGUAGAGAAAGGGGGUUUUAUAACAAGCCUGUAGCAGAGUGAGCAGGUCUCACAACCUGAAACUUCUUAUGUUUCACUGCCUCUUUUCCUGGUAUCUGACGCUGGGCUGCCCAGUCUCCAUGGUAAUUAGACUGAAAAUCCUCCAGUACCGGGCCCCUGCAUAAAACUCUCUUUGAUGGUGAACCUGAUUUCCUCAACAUGUAUUUUUUUUUUUUUUUGGCUAAGUUGGCUUAUGCCCACAUCGGUCAUUGGAUUUUGACCUAAUGUACCAACACACUUGUGACACUAUGCCCUGUGCUGGUGCACAGAAACCAAUUGGAUAUGCUCUUAUAAAUCAUCACCCACAUCCUUCUGAGGAUAGUGGAAAAAUAAAAUAGCAGGCAGGCCUGUAGCCCUGGGAGGGAGGAGGCACAACUGGAAUGCAUUCUGCCGAAGAACAGGGGAUAUUAAAUACAUAGCAGCAGCUGGAAGUGUUCAGAUACUCAGAAGAAAUGUUGCAGUGGAUUGGUACAAGCUAUAACAGAUAAUGACUGCAUUACAUUGAUCUUAAUCAAUAUCAUUAUGCAGAAUACCUGAUAUAUAGAUCGCAUGCACUGUAAACCCAGACAAAAAUACACUUUCAGAUAUAGUUUUAAAAAAGUGUUUAUCGAUUUGAUACAUUUCCAACUCAGGUCACUGUUCUCAAAACAGUUAAUACAGUGAUCUGAAUACUUAAUGUAAUUUUCUAAAAAGAUUGUAUGUUUUUUUAAUUAUUAAAAUGAUAAUUUUUUUAAGUAUUUGAAUGUACGGAGGUUUCCGGCUCCUUCUUCCCACACAACAAACUUUGUUAGAUUGUCUUUAAUAAUAAAAUAAACAAACAAAAAAUGAAAGUAAAGUGGCAGCACCUCUCGUACGACUGCCACAGACAAAACACAAAAUAAAAUCCAGGCCUGGUCCUCUUUCGUCUUUCAGAGUCGUUUACUCCUCCUUUUAUCCUUCCGGAGCUCCUCUGUGGGACUCAAGACCGGUGAGAGGUGCAGGUGUCACU
This is a long non-coding RNA of Carassius auratus (goldfish), 3106 nucleotides long. RefSeq lists it as uncharacterized. The transcript is spliced from 4 exons. The record is from RefSeq and is a predicted model, not a curated record. Lineage: Eukaryota; Metazoa; Chordata; Actinopteri; Cypriniformes; Cyprinidae.